UACGUAGGGUGCGAGCGUUGUCCGGAAUUAUUGGGCGUAAAGAGCUCGUAGGCGGCUUGUCACGUCGGAUGUGAAAGCCCGGGGCUUAACUCCGGGUCUGCAUUCGAUACGGGCAGGCUAGAGUGUGGUAGGGGAGAUCGGAAUUCCUGGUGUAGCGGUGAAAUGCGCAGAUAUCAGGAGGAACACCGGUGGCGAAGGCGGAUCUCUGGGCCAUUACUGACGCUGAGGAGCGAAAGCGUGGGGAGCGAACAGG
This 253-nucleotide ribosomal RNA is filed under the name uncultured bacterium. Its description in RNAcentral is "partial 16S ribosomal RNA". It matches the Rfam family "Bacterial small subunit ribosomal RNA", at positions 524 to 776 of the family's 1533-position model. The record is from RNAcentral.